GAUGAACGCUGGCGGCGUGCCUAAUACAUGCAAGUCGAGCGAACAGAUGAGGAGCUUGCUCCUCUGACGUUAGCGGCGGACGGGUGAGUAACACGUGGAUAACCUACCUAUAAGACUGGGAUAACUUCGGGAAACCGGAGCUAAUACCGGAUAAUAUAUUGAACCGCAUGGUUCAAUAGUGAAAGACGGUUUUGCUGUCACUUAUAGAUGGAUCCGCGCCGCAUUAGCUAGUUGGUAAGGUAACGGCUUACCAAGGCAACGAUGCGUAGCCGACCUGAGAGGGUGAUCGGCCACCCUGGAACUGAGACACGGUCCAGAGUCCUACGGGAGGCAGCAGUAGGGAAUCUUCCGCAAUGGGCGAAAGCCUGACGGAGCAACGCCGCGUGAGUGAUGAAGGUCUUCGGAUCGUAAAACUCUGUUAUUAGGGAAGAACAAAUGUGUAAGUAACUAUGCACGUCUUGACGGUACCUAAUCAGAGAGCCACGGCUAACUACGUG
RNAcentral lists this ribosomal RNA (497 nucleotides) under uncultured bacterium. Its description in RNAcentral is "partial 16S ribosomal RNA". It matches the Rfam family "Bacterial small subunit ribosomal RNA", at positions 28 to 507 of the family's 1533-position model. The record is from RNAcentral.